GAAAAAUUAGUUAAUAAUAUAAUAUAAAUAUGUCAUAUUUAAGUUACUAAUUUUAGUAUUUUUUU
Molecule: transfer RNA, 65 nt
Filed under: Metaphycus eriococci
Lineage: Eukaryota; Metazoa; Arthropoda; Insecta; Hymenoptera; Encyrtidae
Description: tRNA-Asp
Source: RNAcentral